GUUAGAACGCUCGUAGUCGGAUUUCGGGGCGGGCCGACCGGUCUGCCGAUGGGUACGCACUGGUCGGCGCGUCCUUCCUUCCGGAGACCGUGCCUACUCUUAACUGAGCGGGGGCGGGAGACGGAACGUUUACUUUGAAAAAAUCAGAGUGUUUCAAGCAGGCAGCUCGCUCUUGCAUGGAUUAGCAUGGGAUAAUGAAAUAGGACUUUGGUGCUAUUUUGUUGGUUUCGAACACCGAAGUAAUGAUGAGAAGGGACAGUCAGGGGCACUCGUAUUCCGCCGAGAGAGGUGAAAUUCUCAGACCAG
This 306-nucleotide ribosomal RNA is filed under the name uncultured marine eukaryote. RNAcentral's name for it is "SSU rRNA". It matches the Rfam family "Eukaryotic small subunit ribosomal RNA", at positions 618 to 928 of the family's 1831-position model. The record is from RNAcentral.